GCCAUAUUAAAAAAAAACAGAUGUUCAUAAAAGAUUCUGUUAGGAGUUUGGAAAUUGCCUCCAUUGUGGGGUUUUGUUUUAAGGACUUAAAAAAAAGCUCCUCAACUUCAACAUUUAACUUCUCAGGUUCUGGCCUCUGAGGAAGGAAUCAUCUGCUGAGUGCCUCAACUUCCUGAAGAAGCUGUGGGAAGGGCAGGGCAACUUAGAGUUGAAUCAAAAGCAGCUGAAUUGCCAACAGGGAGAUCUGCCAUGGAGGGGAUGAGAGAAGACCUCAUCAGUGAUGGGCGUCAGUGAGAUUGCUGGAAAAACUAUGCUGGUGUGCAAAGGAUGCAGGAAGGAGGCAGCAUCUCUGCAGAGAAAGAGUUCCACUCACAGCCUGGUUAGGCUAACCUGGAAGAAAGGGAAUGGGAAGGAAGAAGGGAAGAAAGUGGAAUACAUGCUGCUGUGAUCUACUGCUACAGUGGCUCAAAAAACUCAGAGGAGCUCAUGUAUUUUUCAGUGUUGACUACCCUCGUUUUGCAGGUGCUGAGUUUGUUUCCCAUUCAGUGGCUGCUAUUUGCCUCAUGGUGUUUGGCAUUCGCCUUGCAAUCUCCAAGUGAGCCAGUGAGGUCUUCUUUGGUGCCCAGCCACUUCUAAUCAAACAAGCAUGUUUCUGGGGGAUGGCAAAGGCAGGUAAAAUCACUGUCUUUGUCCUGUGAGUGCUUCACUGACCCAAGUGACAGCCUCUCCAUACACCCUUCUGGGUUGUGGUUUUGGUAUGAUGAAGGAGUUGUCAGGAGGAAUGCUGGGCAGAAAUGAGGCAGACACUUUUAAUAAGACCAACAGUUUGAAAAUUUCG
RNAcentral lists this long non-coding RNA (838 nucleotides) under Parus major (Great Tit). RNAcentral's name for it is "lncRNA (ENSPMJG00000009441.1)". Lineage: Eukaryota; Metazoa; Chordata; Aves; Passeriformes; Paridae. The record is from RNAcentral.